This is a non-coding RNA of Gasterosteus aculeatus aculeatus (three-spined stickleback), 458 nucleotides long. NCBI's taxonomy places the organism in Eukaryota, Metazoa, Chordata, Actinopteri, Perciformes, Gasterosteidae. The record is from RefSeq and is a predicted model, not a curated record.
CAGUUCGGCGGAUCAUCACAGAUUAUAGUUGUGUUUCAAUGAAGACCAUUGCCUGUCAUUUUCCCGAGGCUUCUUUGAAAACAGGCAUCAAAGGCCACAAGACUGAAAUGAGCGACCAUCAAGAAAAAGACUGCAAACACAGAAAGACCGCUAACUCAAAAUCUCAGCAAAUUAAGCAACAUUCCCUGAAUCAAGGCCCUCAUCAUUGUCAAAAGUUACAUCAUUCAGAUGAUAAUGCUAGCUAUGACACCCAUCUAGUGUUGGAAGGCAUUUUUAGUGAUCAUCAACCCGACCAUCAACGGCAGCGGGAUAAUGACAAGACUCAUCAUCCUCACCGCAGCCAUCACGAGCAAAACCAUCGGCAUGCUUCUCUUUCAGAAAGUCUCCUGAGUUUCUCAACUGUUUCCUCUUCAUCCUCCUUCUCUUCUUCUUCUUCUUUUUCUUCCUCGUCUUCUUCU